GAUGAACGCUGGCGGCGUGCCUAAUACAUGCAAGUCGAGCGAACAGACGAGUAGCUUGCUCCUCUGACGUUAGCGGCGGACGGGUGAGUAACACGUGGAUAACCUACCUAUAAGACUGGGAUAACUUCGGGAAACCGGAGCUAAUACCGGAUAAUAUAUUGAACCGCAUGGUUCAAUAGUGAAAGACGGUUUUGCUGUCACUUAUAGAUGGAUCCGCGCCGCAUUAGCUAGUUGGUAAGGUAACGGCUUACCAAGGCAACGAUGCGUAGCCGACCUGAGAGGGUGAUCGGCCACACUGGAACUGAGACACGGUCCAGACUCCGACGGGAGGCAGCAGUAGGGAAUCUUCCGCAAAGGGCGAAAGCUUGACGGAGCAACGCCGCGUGAGUGAUGAAGGUCUUCGGAUCGUAAAACUCUGUUAUUAGGGAAGAACAAAUGUGUAAGUAACUAUGCACGUCUUGACGGUACCUAAUCAGAAAGCCACGGCUAACUACGUG
RNAcentral lists this ribosomal RNA (497 nucleotides) under uncultured bacterium. RNAcentral describes it as "partial 16S ribosomal RNA". It matches the Rfam family "Bacterial small subunit ribosomal RNA", at positions 28 to 507 of the family's 1533-position model. The record is from RNAcentral.